This 253-nucleotide ribosomal RNA is filed under the name uncultured bacterium. RNAcentral describes it as "partial 16S ribosomal RNA". It matches the Rfam family "Bacterial small subunit ribosomal RNA", at positions 524 to 776 of the family's 1533-position model. The record is from RNAcentral.
UACGUAGGGGCCUAGCGUUGUCCGGAUUUAUUGGGCGUAAAGAGCUUGUAGGCGGUCUGUCGCGUCUGCUGUGAAAAUCCGGGGCUCAACCCCGGACUUGCAGUGGGUACGGGCAGACUAGAGUGUGGUAGGGGAGACUGGAAUUCCUGGUGUAGCGGUGAAAUGCGCAGAUAUCAGGAGGAACACCGAUGGCGAAGGCAGGUCUCUGGGCCACUACUGACGCUGAGAAGCGAAAGCAUGGGGAGCGAACAGG